AAAGUCGUAACAAGGUUUCCGUAGGUUAACCUGCGAAGGAUAAUUG
This 46-nucleotide ribosomal RNA is filed under the name Juglans regia (Persian walnut). Its description in RNAcentral is "18S ribosomal RNA". The record is from RNAcentral. Lineage: Eukaryota; Viridiplantae; Streptophyta; Magnoliopsida; Fagales; Juglandaceae.